Molecule: ribosomal RNA, 467 nt
Filed under: uncultured bacterium
Lineage: Bacteria
Description: partial 16S ribosomal RNA
Rfam family: Bacterial small subunit ribosomal RNA
Source: RNAcentral
GAUGAACGCUGACAGAAUGCUUAACACAUGCAAGUCAACUUGAAUUUGGGUUUUUAACUUAGGUUUGGGUGGCGGACGGGUGAGUAACGCGUAAAGAACUUGCCUCACAGCUAGGGACAACAUUUGGAAACGAAUGCUAAUACCUAAUAUUAUAAUAAUAGGGCAUCCUAUAAUUAUGAAAGCUAUAAGCGCUGUGAGAGAGCUUUGCGUCCCAUUAGCUAGUUGGAGAGGUAACGGCUCACCAAGGCGAUGAUGGGUAGCCGGCCUGAGAGGGUGAUCGGCCACAAGGGGACUGAGACACGGCCCUUACUCCUACGGGAGGCAGCAGUGGGGAAUAUUGGACAAUGGACCGAGAGUCUGAUCCAGCAAUUCUGUGUGCACGAUGAAGUUUUUCGGAAUGUAAAGUGCUUUCAGUUGGGAAGAAACAAAUGACGGUACCAACAGAAGAAGUGACGGCUAAAUACGUG